Molecule: long non-coding RNA, 471 nt
Filed under: Dermacentor andersoni
Lineage: Eukaryota; Metazoa; Arthropoda; Arachnida; Ixodida; Ixodidae
Description: uncharacterized LOC126543794
Source: RNAcentral
UUGCGGUGCCAUCGCGGUUUUUGCAAAGGAGAUUAACUUGUAAUAUCAAGUCGUCGGGAAAGAAAUUUCCCCCGAAGUGGGGUCUGCUAGGUGCUUCACCGGCUUUUCCUACACAGCAGUAUACUUACUAUUCAUAAAACUUUCAGAAGCGCUUCAUUCACCAGCGAGCACAUACAGAGAGAUUACUGAUAUGAACUGCUUGCCAGCGUAUGUGCUUAUAGUAGCCCUCUGCGCUAUGAGCUCCAAUUCGCGGACUGCGGAUAAAGUAGUAAAAGCUGCAGUGGAAGAACGAAUCUUGUAUUCUACGAGAAGUUGCUAUAAAGAGACGUGCUCUCGGGGCAGCUGCCCCACCAAUGGGUGCAGAUGUCCAGGACCGUUAUCACUUCUCUUUGGAAGAAGGAACUGUUACUGAGAUGGAUACCUGCUUUGCCCCUAUUUCAUGAUCAAUUGAAGAAAAUAAAUAUUUUGGCA